GAUGAACGCUGGCGGCGUGCCUAAUACAUGCAAGUAGAACGCUGAAGGAAGGAGCUUGCUCUUUCCGGAUGAGUUGCGAACGGGUGAGUAACGCGUAGGUAACCUGCCUGGUAGCGGGGGAUAACUAUUGGAAACGAUAGCUAAUACCGCAUAACAGUAGAUGUUGCAUGAUAUCUACUUAAAAGGUGCAAUUGCACCACUACCAGAUGGACCUGCGUUGUAUUAGCUAGUUGGUGAGGUAACGGCUCACCAAGGCGACGAUACAUAGCCGACCUGAGAGGGUGAUCGGCCACACUGGGACUGAGACACGGCCCAGACUCCUACGGGAGGCAGCAGUAGGGAAUCUUCGGCAAUGGACGGAAGUCUGACCGAGCAACGCCGCGUGAGUGAAGAAGGUUUUCGGAUCGUAAAGCUCUGUUGUAAGAGAAGAACGAGUGUGAGUGUGGAAAGUUCACACUGUGACGGUAUCUUACCAGAAAGGGACGGCUAACUACGUG
RNAcentral lists this ribosomal RNA (497 nucleotides) under uncultured bacterium. RNAcentral's name for it is "partial 16S ribosomal RNA". It matches the Rfam family "Bacterial small subunit ribosomal RNA", at positions 28 to 507 of the family's 1533-position model. The record is from RNAcentral.